GAUGAAGAACGUAGUGAAACGCGAUAUUUCUUGUGAAUUGCAGAAGUGAAUCAUCAGUUUUUGAACGCACAUUGCACUUUGGGGUAUCCCCCAAAGUAUACUUGUUUGAGCGUUGUUUCUCUCUUGGAAUUGCUUUGCUCUUCUAAAAUUUCGAAUCAAAUUCGUUUGAAAAACAACACUAUUCAACCUCAGAUCAAGUAGGAUUACCCGCUGAACUUAAGCAUAUCAAUAAGCGGAGGA
Molecule: unclassified non-coding RNA, 240 nt
Filed under: soil metagenome
Description: partial contains 5.8S ribosomal RNA, internal transcribed spacer 2, and large subunit ribosomal RNA
Rfam family: 5.8S ribosomal RNA (bases 1-115)
Source: RNAcentral